Molecule: unclassified non-coding RNA, 383 nt
Filed under: Hevea brasiliensis (rubber tree)
Lineage: Eukaryota; Viridiplantae; Streptophyta; Magnoliopsida; Malpighiales; Euphorbiaceae
Source: RNAcentral
AUGCGUCCCACAUCGGUUCUGCAGUAAGGUCUUAGGUGUUACAUAUAUGAGUUAGGCAGGUUCAUAUCAACGAAUAUGCUUAUAAUUAUAUUACAUUUUCUAACAUGAAAAUAACAAAAAAUAAAAAAGAGCAAGACCUUCGAGGCCAGCCUUCCCCUAAAGUUAUAGAAAACCCAAAACAAUUCUGCUUGCACAUGUGCACACACACAUAUACAUUCCUCCUAUGCUCAAAAUUGUUGCAUGAUACUCAUGUUUCAUGUAGCAUGUAAAAAGAGCUUCGCAAACCAGGGUUGAAUGAUUAUAAGCCUAUUUGGCAUUGCGUUUGGAUGACCAAAAUUACUUUUUUGAAUAAAAGUACCAUUUUCAAUGCUGUUGAAAAAAAU